AGCGGACGGACGGGAGCUUGGCUCCCUGAUGUCAGCGGCGGACGGGUGAGUAACACGUGGGUAACCUGCCUGUAAGACUGGGAUAACUCCGGGAAACCGGGGCUAAUACCGGAUGCUUGAUUGAACCGCAUGGUUCAAUUAUAAAAGGUGGCUUUUAGCUACCACUUACAGAUGGACCCGCGGCGCAUUAGCUAGUUGGUGAGGUAACGGCUCACCAAGGCGACGAUGCGUAGCCGACCUGAGAGGGUGAUCGGCCACACUGGGACUGAGACACGGCCCAGACUCCUACGGGAGGCAGCAGUAGGGAAUCUUCCGCAAUGGACGAAAGUCUGACGGAGCAACGCCGCGUGAGUGAUGAAGGUUUUCGGAUCGUAAAACUCUGUUGUUAGGGAAGAACAAGUACCGUUCGAAUAGGGCGGUACCUUGACGGUACCUAACCAGAAAGCCACGGCUAACUACGUGCCAGCAGCCGCGGUAAUACGUAGGUGGCAAGCGUUGUCCGGAAUUAUUGGGCGUAAAGCGCGCGCAGGCGGUUUCUUAAGUCUGAUGUGAAAGCCCCCGGCUCAACCGGGGAGGGUCAUUGGAAACUGGGGAACUUGAGUGCAGAAAAGGAGAGUGGAAUUCCACGUGUAGCGGUGAAAUGCGUAGAGAUGUGGAGGAACACCAGUGGCGAAAGCGACUCUCUGGUCUGUAACUGACGCUAAGGCGCGAAAGCGUGGGGAGCGAACAGGAUUAGAUACCCUGGUAGUCCACGCCGUAAACGAUGAGUGCUAAGUGUUAGAAGGUUUCCGCCCUUUACUGCUGCAGCAAACGCAUUAAGCACUCCGCCUGGCGAGUACGGUCGCAGGACUGAAACUCAAAGGAAUUGACAGGGGCCCGCACAAGCGGUGCAGCAUGUUGUUUAAUUCAAAGCAACGCGCAAAACCUUACCAGGUCUUGACGUCCUCUGACAACCCUAGAGAUAGGGCUUCUCCUUCGCCCGCAGAGUGACCAGUGGUGCAUGGUUGUCGUCUCCUCCUCUCCUAAAAUUUUGGGUUAAGUCCCGCACCACCCCAACCCUGGUCUUAUUUCCAACAAUCAAUUGGGCGUCUAAGG
This 1095-nucleotide ribosomal RNA is filed under the name Bacillus licheniformis. RNAcentral's name for it is "bacterial SSU rRNA". It matches the Rfam family "Bacterial small subunit ribosomal RNA", at positions 65 to 1146 of the family's 1533-position model. Lineage: Bacteria; Bacillati; Bacillota; Bacilli; Caryophanales; Bacillaceae. The record is from RNAcentral.